This is a long non-coding RNA of Halichondria panicea, 999 nucleotides long. RefSeq lists it as uncharacterized. The record is from RefSeq and is a predicted model, not a curated record. NCBI's taxonomy places the organism in Eukaryota, Metazoa, Porifera, Demospongiae, Suberitida, Halichondriidae. The transcript has 4 exons.
UUCCUAAGGCUCCAAAGGUAACCACUUGUUGACAAAUAUUUGGACCCAUAACCUCUCAUCCUACUCACGUGUUAAUCAGAUGAUUAUCUCCGCAAACACAUCAGACCACAUUAUCAGGUGAACACGCUUGCUUAUAAGCCCUAUACAGUAAAGGAAUACACCCACCAGCACCCAUACACAACUACACGUGUACCCAUCCGCUACUACUCUCCCCCACACACACACACCUAGACUCAAUUACUUGCCGAGAAGCAGACUGCUGUGUACACUCUCCAAUGGAAGCUCAAGUCUUGUCGGCAGUCUCUGGAUAGCAAAGAGCUCCACCUUGGCCUGGUUCAGAAGAAGGUCACGGUGAUGGAAGAGCGACUAUGAAUUAUACUCAAGGAGUGAGGAACCUCCCUUGACAAAGGUAGAAAAAAGUAAAAAAAGAUGGAACGCCUUCACACUAUAGCAACUCAGGAGAAAGAGACCAUUAUGAAACUGAAGGAGUAGAAUGCUGAUGCGCAAAAACUCAAAACCCACAAUGGAAACCUAGAAGACCAAGUGGCUCAGCUGUUAGCAACACUAUAGAGGAGGUUUCACAGGCAAGAGUACAUCAGGCACAGCAACUGGCUGAAGCUAGACAGAAACAAGCCAACUCAAAAACGAAGACCAUCGUUGAAAGUUCUCAAGACAAGGCUAAUAUUGAAAGGCUUGGAGGAGAGCUAGAAACCUCACAGCAGCAGCUGGAUGAGGCCAAACACAGAGAAAGAGAGUUGGUGUCUUUCAAGGCAGCGGUGAAGAGGCUACUCAAGGACAAUACAGAGUUACAAGAUAGUGAGGCUCUUGAUGACUACGGUAUAUGAUUGCCAAGCUGGAGAGAUUACUGGCCAUGCAGCGAAGAACAAGAGAAACCACAAAAUGCCUUGAAGCUAGUUUGAGACAAUUAGAAUCAGGCUUUAAGAGCAGUUACAAUGAUGCAUUGACUCUGUUAGCAACCAAUCAGCUUAAAGAAACCUA